CAGCCGCCACGGUAAUACGUAGGGGGCGAGCGUUGUCCGAAGUUACUGGGCGUAAAGAGCGCGUAGGCUGGUCUUUAAGUGAGUGGUGAAAGGUUCGGGCUCAACCCGGACACUGCCUUUCAUACUGGGGACCUUGAGUGUGAGAGAGGCGAGUGGAAUGGUCGGUGUAGCGGUGAAAUGCGUAGAUAUCGGAAGGAACACCUGUGGCGAAAGCGGCUCACUGGACCAUUUCUGACGCUGAUGCACGAAAGCUAGGGGAGCAAACAGGAUUAGAUACCCCGGUAGUCCCUGUCUCUUAUAA
RNAcentral lists this ribosomal RNA (301 nucleotides) under uncultured bacterium. RNAcentral describes it as "partial 16S ribosomal RNA". It matches the Rfam family "Bacterial small subunit ribosomal RNA", at positions 509 to 809 of the family's 1533-position model. The record is from RNAcentral.